AAUUGUUCGCAAUGGGCGCAAGCCUGACGACGCAACGCCGCGUGGAGGAUGAAGACCUUCGGGUCAUAAACUCCUUUCGACCGAGAUGAACACCUGUCGACCUAAUACGUUGACAGGCUGACAGUACCGAGGGAAGAAGCCCCGGCUAACUACGUGCCAGCAGCCGCGGUAAUACGUAGGGACCAAGCGUUGUUCGGAUUUACUGGGCGUAAAGGGCGCGUAGGCGGCAAUUCAAGUCAUCUGUGAAAUCUCCGGGCUUAACUCGGAACGGUCAGAUGAUACUGCUUUGCUUGAGUGCGGAAGGGGCAAUCGGAAUUCUUGGUGUAGCGGUGAAAUGCGUAGAUAUCAAGAGGAACACCUGAGGUGAAGACGGGUUGCUGGGCCGACACUGACGCUGACAGCGCGAAAGCCAGGGGAGCAAAC
This 423-nucleotide ribosomal RNA is filed under the name uncultured bacterium. RNAcentral's name for it is "bacterial SSU rRNA". It matches the Rfam family "Bacterial small subunit ribosomal RNA", at positions 360 to 773 of the family's 1533-position model. The record is from RNAcentral.